GCGGAAGUAGUUCAGUGGUAGAACAUCACCUUGCCAAGGUGGGGGUCGCGGGUUCGAAUCCCGUUUUCCGCUCCA
Molecule: transfer RNA, 75 nt
Filed under: Bacillus amyloliquefaciens
Lineage: Bacteria; Bacillati; Bacillota; Bacilli; Caryophanales; Bacillaceae
Also listed under: 2 other names
Description: tRNA-Gly
Rfam family: tRNA
About the family: Transfer RNA (tRNA) molecules are approximately 80 nucleotides in length. Their secondary structure includes four short double-helical elements and three loops (D, anti-codon, and T loops).
Source: RNAcentral